Molecule: ribosomal RNA, 793 nt
Filed under: Escherichia coli
Lineage: Bacteria; Pseudomonadati; Pseudomonadota; Gammaproteobacteria; Enterobacterales; Enterobacteriaceae
Description: partial 23S ribosomal RNA
Rfam family: Bacterial large subunit ribosomal RNA
Source: RNAcentral
ACUGUGAGCUCGAUGAGUAGGGCGGGACACGUGGUAUCCUGUCUGAAUAUGGGGGGACCAUCCUCCAAGGCUAAAUACUCCUGACUGACCGAUAGUGAACCAGUACCGUGAGGGAAAGGCGAAAAGAACCCCGGCGAGGGGAGUGAAAAAGAACCUGAAACCGUGUACGUACAAGCAGUGGGAGCCUCUUAAUGGGGUGACUGCGUACCUUUUGUAUAAUGGGUCAGCGACUUAUAUUCUGUAGCAAGGUUAACCGAAUAGGGGAGCCGAAGGGAAACCGAGUCUUAACUGGGCGUUAAGUUGCAGGGUAUAGACCCGAAACCCGGUGAUCUAGCCAUGGGCAGGUUGAAGGUUGGGUAACACUAACUGGAGGACCGAACCGACUAAUGUUGAAAAAUUAGCGGAUGACUUGUGGCUGGGGGUGAAAGGCCAAUCAAACCGGGAGAUAGCUGGUUCUCCCCGAAAGCUAUUUAGGUAGCGCCUCGUGAAUUCAUCUCCGGGGGUAGAGCACUGUUUCGGCAAGGGGGUCAUCCCGACUUACCAACCCGAUGCAAACUGCGAAUACCGGAGAAUGUUAUCACGGGAGACACACGGCGGGUGCUAACGUCCGUCGUGAAGAGGGAAACAACCCAGACCGCCAGCUAAGGUCCCAAAGUCAUGGUUAAGUGGGAAACGAUGUGGGAAGGCCCAGACAGCCAGGAUGUUGGCUUAGAAGCAGCCAUCAUUUAAAGAAAGCGUAAUAGCUCACUGGUCGAGUCGGCCUGCGCGGAAGAUGUAACGGGGCUAAACCAUG